AAAUUGAAGAGUUUGAUCAUGGCUCAGAUUGAACGCUGGCGGCAGGCCUAACACAUGCAAGUCGAGCGGUAGCACAGAGAGCUUGCUCUCGGGUGACGAGCGGCGGACGGGUGAGUAAUGUCUGGGAAACUGCCUGAUGGAGGGGGAUAACUACUGGAAACGGUAGCUAAUACCGCAUAACGUCGCAAGACCAAAGUGGGGGACCUUCGGGCCUCAUGCCAUCAGAUGUGCCCAGAUGGGAUUAGCUAGUAGGUGGGGUAAUGGCUCACCUAGGCGACGAUCCCUAGCUGGUCUGAGAGGAUGACCAGCCACACUGGAACUGAGACACGGUCCAGACUCCUACGGGAGGCAGCAGUGGGGAAUAUUGCACAAUGGGCGCAAGCCUGAUGCAGCCAUGCCGCGUGUGUGAAGAAGGCCUUCGGGUUGUAAAGCACUUUCAGCGGGGAGGAAGGCGAUAAGGUUAAUAACCUUGUCGAUUGACGUUACCCGCAGAAGAAGCACCGGCUAACUCCGUGCCAGCAGCCGCGGUAAUACGGAGGGUGCAAGCGUUAAUCGGAAUUACUGGGCGUAAAGCGCACGCAGGCGGUCUGUCAAGUCGGAUGUGAAAUCCCCGGGCUCAACCUGGGAACUGCAUUCGAAACUGGCAGGCUAGAGUCUUGUAGAGGGGGGUAGAAUUCCAGGUGUAGCGGUGAAAUGCGUAGAGAUCUGGAGGAAUACCGGUGGCGAAGGCGGCCCCCUGGACAAAGACUGACGCUCAGGUGCGAAAGCGUGGGGAGCAAACAGGAUUAGAUACCCUGGUAGUCCACGCCGUAAACGAUGUCGAUUUGGAGGUUGUGCCCUUGAGGCGUGGCUUCCGGAGCUAACGCGUUAAAUCGACCGCCUGGGGAGUACGGCCGCAAGGUUAAAACUCAAAUGAAUUGACGGGGGCCCGCACAAGCGGUGGAGCAUGUGGUUUAAUUCGAUGCAACGCGAAGAACCUUACCUGGUCUUGACAUCCACAGAACUUUCCAGAGAUGGAUUGGUGCCUUCGGGAACUGUGAGACAGGUGCUGCAUGGCUGUCGUCAGCUCGUGUUGUGAAAUGUUGGGUUAAGUCCCGCAACGAGCGCAACCCUUAUCCUUUGUUGCCAGCGGUUAGGCCGGGAACUCAAAGGAGACUGCCAGUGAUAAACUGGAGGAAGGUGGGGAUGACGUCAAGUCAUCAUGGCCCUUACGACCAGGGCUACACACGUGCUACAAUGGCAUAUACAAAGAGAAGCGACCUCGCGAGAGCAAGCGGACCUCAUAAAGUAUGUCGUAGUCCGGAUUGGAGUCUGCAACUCGACUCCAUGAAGUCGGAAUCGCUAGUAAUCGUAGAUCAGAAUGCUACGGUGAAUACGUUCCCGGGCCUUGUACACACCGCCCGUCACACCAUGGGAGUGGGUUGCAAAAGAAGUAGGUAGCUUAACCUUCGGGAGGGCGCUUACCACUUUGUGAUUCAUGACUGGGGUGAAGUCGUAACAAGGUAACCGUAGGGGAACCUGCGGUUGGAUCACCUCCUUA
RNAcentral lists this ribosomal RNA (1540 nucleotides) under Klebsiella pneumoniae. RNAcentral's name for it is "bacterial SSU rRNA". It matches the Rfam family "Bacterial small subunit ribosomal RNA". The record is from RNAcentral. RNAcentral also lists the same sequence under 2 other names. Lineage: Bacteria; Pseudomonadati; Pseudomonadota; Gammaproteobacteria; Enterobacterales; Enterobacteriaceae.